ACAUGCCUACAGCAUAGCGCUAAUGCACCAAAUCCCAUUAGAAAUCCGUAGUUAAGCACGCCCAAGCUAGAGUAGUACUAGGAUGGGUGAUUGCCCGGGAAUUCCUAGUGUUUUACAUGCC
Molecule: non-coding RNA, 121 nt
Organism: Picea glauca (white spruce)
Lineage: Eukaryota; Viridiplantae; Streptophyta; Pinopsida; Pinales; Pinaceae
Source: Rfam